UUGCCCUGAACUUUGUAAAAAAGAUGUUUUGCUUUUGCUUUAGUUUCUUGAUCAUGAUAAAUAGCACAGGUUUAGUGUCCAUCUCUGAUUUCUUUCUUUUUUUCCGUCCAGUUGUGCAAAAUUUCACGCAACCUUUUUAAUUUCCUCCUGUAAUUUUCUCCUAUCAAGAGAAAUGAAAAAAUUGUAAUUAGAGACACAAGUUUUCGUUUAUAUCAAUAGUAGUAAUAGACAACACCAAUAUCCACUUUUGCAGGCAAUAAAGUUGAUGGUCUUAGGCUGCAUUCAUAUGGCAGGAUAUAUAGCCGCGAAUCUUAGUUGUUGUCAAGCUUUUGUAGUAUUUGGUUUAUCAGCGAGCAGACAUCCAUGGCCCAUGCCACAAUAACUUCAGGCCACUCAAGCUCUAAUAGUCUAUUUGACCCCCCUCCCCCUUCUUUUUUCUCUUUUACGACGUCCUCCGUUUCAAUUUAUGUGAUAUAAUUUGACUAAACAUGAAGUUUAAGAAAGAAAGAAAGACUUUUGAAACUUGUGAUCUAAAACGAGUCAUAAAGAUUUGUGUGGCUGCAAAUCAUUUCAUUAAGGAUAAAAGGAAAAGUUUUCAGUUAGAUUAUUUUUUAAAUAUAAAAAUAUAUCAUUCUUAACGUAUCAUUCUUUUGUGGACAGACUAAAAAAAAAAUGUAUCAUAUAAAUUGGAACAGAGCAAAACUACUUGUUCUUGGUCCAGUAAGCUUCGAACUGUUAAUAGUUUCCAUUCGGGCUUGUACUUACCUUUGUUCCCUUUUUAGAGAUAAUUCGAGGAGGCCACAUUUACUGGAACUGAUCGACCAUGAAAUUGAUUUCCAUUUAAUUAUGUGUGCUAUUCGAUAGGCACUAAUCUAUACUCAUUGAUGAUUGUUACUAUAACAAACACUGCUACUGUAAAGCGUGCUUAAUCCAAAAAAUGGUAAGACAGACUCCCAAGAGCUGAGAGUUAUAAGAAGACACGCAUAUGCGUGAUAAGUCACAUUGGUCAUGUGAAAGAGACUAAUAACUCGAGAUAAGGGAUAAUACUAUAUUACUCAACUUUAUAUGUAACUAUGUUACAACAACAAAUUUCUUCUCAUGCACAGAAACGUAAAAAGUCCAGUAGCUGCUAUACAUCAGAAAAUCUCUGCUAAUUCUCUGUACAUAGAUCUAGAGCUAGUCGUGGUAUGCUACAUCAGAUAACCGAGAGACACUAAAAGACUCCAACAAUUUACCAUCAGAAAAAG
Molecule: long non-coding RNA, 1247 nt
Organism: Lycium ferocissimum
Lineage: Eukaryota; Viridiplantae; Streptophyta; Magnoliopsida; Solanales; Solanaceae
Exons: 2
Source: RefSeq, a predicted model, not a curated record